Long non-coding RNA from Neltuma alba, 96 nucleotides. RefSeq lists it as uncharacterized. The transcript is spliced from 2 exons. The record is from RefSeq and is a predicted model, not a curated record. NCBI's taxonomy places the organism in Eukaryota, Viridiplantae, Streptophyta, Magnoliopsida, Fabales, Fabaceae.
AUCAAUAUCGGUGAAUUUCUAAAUUUGACCCAGCUGGAUCUGAGCUUCAAUAACAUCACAGGACAGGUUCCGGGAUCACUUUUCAAUCUGAGUUUG